RNAcentral lists this ribosomal RNA (1343 nucleotides) under uncultured bacterium. Its description in RNAcentral is "16S ribosomal RNA". It matches the Rfam family "Bacterial small subunit ribosomal RNA", at positions 28 to 1378 of the family's 1533-position model. The record is from RNAcentral.
GACGAACGCCGGCGGCGUGCUUAACACAUGCAAGUCGAACGGAAAGGCCCUGCUUUUGUGGGGUGCUCGAGUGGCGAGCGGGUGAGUAACACGUGAGUAACCUGCCCUUGACUUUGGGAUAACUUCAGGAAACUGGGGCUAAUACCGGAUAGGAGCUCCUGCUGCAUGGUGGGGGUUGGAAAGUUUCGGCGGUUGGGGAUGGACUCGCGGCUUAUCAGCUUGUUGGUGGGGUAGUGGCUUACCAAGGCUUUGACGGGUAGCCGGCCUGAGAGGGUGACCGGCCACAUUGGGACUGAGAUACGGCCCACACUCCUACGGGAGGCAGCAGUGGGGAAUAUUGCACAAUGGGCGGAAGCCUGAUGCACCAACGCCCCGUGCGGGAUGACGGCCUUCGGGUUGUAAACCGCUUUCGCCUGUGACGAAGCGUGAGUGACGGUAAUGGGUAAAGAAGCACCGGCUAACUACGUGCCACCAGCCGCGGUGAUACGUAGGGUGCGAGCGUUGUCCGGAUUUAUUGGGCGUAAAGGGCUCGUAGGUGGUUGAUCGCGUCGGAAGUGUAAUCUUGGGGCUUAACCCUGAGCGUGCUUUCGAUACGGGUAGACUUGAGGAAGGUAGGGGAGAAUGGAAUUCCUGGUGGAGCGGUGGAAUGCGCAGAUAUCAGGAGGGACACCAGUGGCGAAGGCGGUUCUCUGGGCCUUUCCUGACGCUGAGGAGCGAAAGCGUGGGGAGCGAACAGGCUUAGAUACCCUGGUAGUCCACGCUGUAAACGGUGGGUACUAGGUGUGGGGUCCAUUCCACGGGUUCCGUGCCGUAGCUAACGCUUUAAGUACCCCGCCUGGGGAGUACGGCCGCAAGGCUAAAACUCAAAGGAAUUGACGGGGCCCCGCACAAGCGGCGGAGCAUGCGGAUUAAUUCGAUGCAACGCGUAGAACCUUACCUGGGUUUGACAUGGAUCGGGAGUGCUCAGAGAUGGGUGUGCCUCUUUUGGGGUCGGUUCACAGGUGGUGCAUGCCUGUCGUCAGCUCGUGUCGUGAGAUGUUGGGUUAAGUCCCGCAACGAGCGCAACCCUUGUUCACUGUUGCCAGCACGUUAUGGUGGGGACUCAGUGGAGACCGCCGGGGUCAACUCGGAGGAAGGUGGGGAUGACGUCAAGUCCUCAUGCCCCUUAUGUCCAGGGCUUCACGCAUGCUACAAUGGCUGGUACAGAGAGUGGCGAGCCUGUGAGGGUGAGCGAAUCUCGGAAAGCCGGUCUCAGUUCGGAUUGGGGUCUGCAACUCGACCUCAUGAAGUCGGAGUCGCUAGUAAUCGCAGAUCAGCAACGCUGCGGUGAAUGCGUUCCCGGG